CAGCAGCCGCCGCGGGAAUACAGAGGGUGCAAGCGUUAAUCGGAAUUACUGGGCGUAAAGCGCGCGUAGGUGGUUUGUUAAGUCGGAUGUGAAAUCCCCGGGCUCAACCUGGGAACUGCAUCCGAAACUGGCAAGCUAGAGUAUGGUAGAGGGUAGUGGAAUUUCCUGUGUAGCGGUGAAAUGCGUAGAUAUAGGAAGGAACACCAGUGGCGAAGGCGACUACCUGGACUGAUACUGACACUGAGGUGCGAAAGCGUGGGGAGCAAACAGGAUUAGAUACCCCUGUAGUCCCUGUCUCUUAUAC
This 304-nucleotide ribosomal RNA is filed under the name uncultured bacterium. RNAcentral's name for it is "partial 16S ribosomal RNA". It matches the Rfam family "Bacterial small subunit ribosomal RNA", at positions 506 to 807 of the family's 1533-position model. The record is from RNAcentral.